CAUGCAUGUCUUAGAAGUAUAAUAGGAGGCGAUCCAUAAAUCUGCGAACGGCUCCGUAUAUCUGUUAUCACCCACGGCCACUAAAAAGAUCUCGGAUACCCACGGUAAUUCUGAGGCUAAUACGUAUACGUAGCUUGGGCCUCCAGGACAGGGCGCCCUCCGCAAGGGGGGCGCCUGGGCUAGUCGCUUGUUGCCGGGGGGUCCCGCAAGGGGUCCGCUGUCAUGAUGGCAGGCUAGUGCACCACACUGCGGGGGCGAUAUGUCCCGUAGGGUGCGCCAAGGGAGCCAGCCCUAUUAACUAGGUGUCCGGGUAAGGCCCGGCCGCGGUGAUAACGGGUACAGAGGAUCAGGGUUCGGUCCUGGAGAGGAAGCCUGAGAGAUCGCUUCUACUUCUAAGGAAGGCAGCAGGCGCGCAACGUUCCCAAUGGGGAUACCCUGAGGACGUGAGGGGAUAUAGCAAUGCCCCGCCCAUAAAGCGGGGCAAUUGCAAUGGGGGUCCACUAAACCCUCCACCGAGUAACAAUUGGAG
This 529-nucleotide ribosomal RNA is filed under the name Trichia varia. RNAcentral's name for it is "SSU rRNA". It matches the Rfam family "Eukaryotic small subunit ribosomal RNA", at positions 50 to 553 of the family's 1831-position model. The record is from RNAcentral. Lineage: Eukaryota; Evosea; Eumycetozoa; Trichiida; Trichiidae.